Molecule: ribosomal RNA, 693 nt
Filed under: uncultured Lactobacillus sp.
Lineage: Bacteria; Bacillati; Bacillota; Bacilli; Lactobacillales; Lactobacillaceae
Description: bacterial SSU rRNA
Rfam family: Bacterial small subunit ribosomal RNA
Source: RNAcentral
AACGAUGAAUGCUAAGUGUUGGAGGUUUCCCCUUCAGUGCUGCAGCUAACGCAUUAAGCAUUCCGCUGGGGAGUACGGCCGCAAGGCUGAAACUCAAAGGAAUUGACGGGGGCCCGCACAAGCGGUGGAGCAUGUGGUUUAAUUCGAAGCUACGCGAAGAACCUUACCAGGUCUUGACAUACUAUGCAAAUCUAAGAGAUUAGACGUUCCCUUCGGGGACAUGGAUACAGGUGGUGCAUGGUUGUCGUCAGCUCGUGUCGUGAGAUGUUGGGUUAAGUCCCGCAACGAGCGCAACCCUUAUUAUCAGUUGCCAGCAUUAAGUUGGGCACUCUGGUGAGACUGCCGGUGACAAACCGGAGGAAGGUGGGGAUGACGUCAAAUCAUCAUGCCCCUUAUGACCUGGGCUACACACGUGCUACAAUGGAUGGUACAACGAGUUGCGAACUCGCGAGAGUAAGCUAAUCUCUUAAAGCCAUUCUCAGUUCGGAUUGUAGGCUGCAACUCGCCUACAUGAAGUCGGAAUCGCUAGUAAUCGCGGAUCAGCAUGCCGCGGUGAAUACGUUCCCGGGCCUUGUACACACCGCCCGUCACACCAUGAGAGUUUGUAACACCCAAAGUCGGUGGGGUAACCUUUAGGAACCAGCCGCCUAAGGUGGGACAGAUGAUUAGGGUGAAGUCGUAACAAGGUAACCA